This 254-nucleotide ribosomal RNA is filed under the name uncultured bacterium. RNAcentral describes it as "partial 16S ribosomal RNA". It matches the Rfam family "Bacterial small subunit ribosomal RNA", at positions 524 to 776 of the family's 1533-position model. The record is from RNAcentral.
UACGUAGGGGGCAAGCGUUUGUCCGGAUUUAUUGGGCGUAAAGAGCGUGUAGGCGGCCAUACAGGUCCGUUGUGAAAACUGGAGGCUUAACCUCCAGACGUCGAUGGAAACCGUAUGGCUAGAGUCCGGAAGAGGAGAGUGGAAUUCCUGGUGUAGCGGUGAAAUGCGCAGAUAUCAGGAAGAACACCCGUGGCGAAGGCGGCUCUCUGGGACGGUACUGACGCUGAGGAGCGAAAGCGUGGGGAGCGAACAGG